This 1275-nucleotide ribosomal RNA is filed under the name Cellulosimicrobium sp. Its description in RNAcentral is "bacterial SSU rRNA". It matches the Rfam family "Bacterial small subunit ribosomal RNA", at positions 61 to 1347 of the family's 1533-position model. The record is from RNAcentral. Lineage: Bacteria; Bacillati; Actinomycetota; Actinomycetes; Micrococcales; Promicromonosporaceae.
GUCGAACGAUGAUGCCCAGCUUGCUGGGCGGAUUAGUGGCGAACGGGUGAGUAACACGUGAGUAACCUGCCCUUGACUUCGGGAUAACUCCGGGAAACCGGGGCUAAUACCGGAUAUGAGCCGUCCUCGCAUGGGGGUGGUUGGAAAGUUCUUCGGUCAGGGAUGGGCUCGCGGCCUAUCAGCUUGUUGGUGGGGUGAUGGCCUACCAAGGCGACGACGGGUAGCCGGCCUGAGAGGGCGACCGGCCACACUGGGACUGAGACACGGCCCAGACUCCUACGGGAGGCAGCAGUGGGGGAAUAUUGCACAAUGGGCGAAAGCCUGAUGCAGCGACGCCGCGUGAGGGAUGAAGGCCUUCCGGGUUGUAAACCUCUUUCAGCAGGGAAGAAGCGCAAGUGACGGUACCUGCAGAAGAAGCGCCGGCUAACUACGUGCCAGCAGCCGCGGUAAUACGUAGGGCGCAAGCGUUGUCCGGAAUUAUUGGGCGUAAAGAGCUCGUAGGCGGUUUGUCGCGUCUGGUGUGAAAACUCGAGGCUCAACCUCGAGCUUGCAUCGGGUACGGGCAGACUAGAGUGCGGUAGGGGAGACUGGAAUUCCUGGUGUAGCGGUGGAAUGCGCAGAUAUCAGGAGGAACACCGAUGGCGAAGGCAGGUCUCUGGGCCGCAACUGACGCUGAGGAGCGAAAGCAUGGGGAGCGAACAGGAUUAGAUACCCUGGUAGUCCAUGCCGUAAACGUUGGGCACUAGGUGUGGGGCUCAUUCCACGAGUUCCGUGCCGCAGCAAACGCAUUAAGUGCCCCGCCUGGGGAGUACGGCCGCAAGGCUAAAACUCAAAGGAAUUGACGGGGGCCCGCACAAGCGGCGGAGCAUGCGGAUUAAUUCGAUGCAACGCGAAGAACCUUACCAAGUCUUGACAUGCACGAGAAGCCACCAGAGAUGGUGGUCUCUUUGGACACUCGUGCACAGGUGGUGCAUGGUUGUCGUCAGCUCGUGUCGUGAGAUGUUGGGUUAAGUCCCGCAACGAGCGCAACCCUCGUCCCAUGUUGCCAGCGGGUUAUGCCGGGGACUCAUGGGAGACUGCCGGGGUCAACUCGGAGGAAGGUGGGGAUGACGUCAAAUCAUCAUGCCCCUUAUGUCUUGGGCUUCACGCAUGCUACAAUGGCCGGUACAAAGGGCUGCGAUACCGUAAGGUGGAGCGAAUCCCAAAAAGCCGGUCUCAGUUCGGAUUGGGGUCUGCAACUCGACCCCAUGAAGUCGGAGUCGCUAGUAAUCGCAG